UCACUACUUGCGUAGGCAGUUGGUUUAGAGUUCCCACCUUUACGUGCUGGCAACUAAACCCAGGGGUUGCGCUCGUUGCUGGACUUAACCAAACACCUCACGGCACGAGCUGACGACAGCCAUGCAGCACCUGUACCGCCCCCCUUGCGGGUAGCCCACUUUCAUGGGUUUAGACGGCCUUUCAAGCCUAGGUAAGGUUCUUCGCGUUGCAUCGAAUUAAACCACAUGCUCCACUGCUUGUGCGGGCCCCCGUCAAUUCCUUUGAGUUUCACCCUUGCGAGCGUACUCCCCAGGUGGAUCACUUAAUGCGUUAGCUCCGGCACCGACCUUGCGGCCGACACCAAGUGAUCAUCGUUUAGGGCAUGGACUAC
This 371-nucleotide unclassified non-coding RNA is filed under the name uncultured Ignavibacteria bacterium. RNAcentral describes it as "contains 16S-23S intergenic spacer region". The record is from RNAcentral. Lineage: Bacteria; Pseudomonadati; Ignavibacteriota; Ignavibacteria.